GGAAACAACCUCUCUACUCCCUCGGGGUAGGGGUAAGGUCUGCGUACUCAUUACCCUCCCCAAACCCCACUUGUGAGAUUUCACUGGGUUGUUGUUGUAGAGGUUGGUGUGGAUUCCUCUCGAGGUGAGGGUCUUUCGGAAGGUCUGCGUACACAUUACCUUCCCCAGAUCUCACUUGUUGGAUUCCACUGGGUUAUUGUUGUUGUUAGGCUCGUGUGGAUCAUCUAUCUUACCUGAUAAAAAAAAAAAAAAAAGAGGUUGGUGUGCAUGAAUUCUUGUUUUACCAAGUCUUUUGGGGGUGAUGUUUUAUUUUGUAGAACUUGUGUAGACAUUUUCUGGUGUUUGUGAACAUGGUUGAAGGAGGCAUACCAUAUUGUGCA
Nicotiana tabacum (common tobacco) is the source of this 380-nucleotide non-coding RNA. The record is from RefSeq and is a predicted model, not a curated record. NCBI's taxonomy places the organism in Eukaryota, Viridiplantae, Streptophyta, Magnoliopsida, Solanales, Solanaceae.